GGCGGGGUAACGGCCCACCAAGGCUAUGACGGGUAGGGGGUGUGAGAGCACGACCCCCAACGAGGGAACUGAGACACGGUCCCUACUCCUACGGGAGGCUGCAGUCGAGAAUCUUCGACAAUGGGCGAAAGCCUGAUCGAGCGACGCCGCGUGCGGGAUGAAGGCCUUCGGGUCGUAAACCGCUUUUGCCGGGGACGAAUUUCUGACGGUACCCGGCGAAUAAGAGGUUGCUAACUCUGUGCCAGCAGCAGCGGUAAUACAGAGACCUCAAGCGUUAUCCGGAUUCAUUGGGCGUAAAGCGUCUGUAGGGGGUUCGAUUAGUCUCCCGUUAAAGCACGGGGCCUAACUCCGUAAAUGCGGGGGAAACGGUCGAACUCGAGUGCGCAAGAGGCAAGCGGAACUCACGGUGUAGCAGUGAAAUGCGUUGAUAUCGUGGGGAACACCAAAGGCGAAGGCAGCUUGCUGGGGCGCCACUGACCCUGAGAGACGAAAGCGUGGGUAGCGAAUGGGAUUAGAUACCCCAGUAGUCCACGCCCUAAACGAUGCUGACCAGCUAUGUAGAGUAUCGACCCUCUACGUGGCGAAGCUAACGCGUUAAGUCAGCCGCCUGGGAAGUACGAUCGCAAGAUUAAAACUCAAAGGAAUAGACGGGAGCUCGCACAAGCGGUGGAACAUGUGGUUCAAUUCGACACAAAGCGAGGAACCUUACCAGGGCUUAAAAUGGACCUGAAGAUUUUCCGAAAGGAGGGUCGUCUUACAAGGACAGGUUCACAGGCGCUGCAUGGUUGUCGUCAGCUCGUGCCUUGAGGUGUUCCGUUAAGUCGGGAAACGAGCGCAACCCCCAUUGUCUGUUACAAGUGUCAGGCGAAACUGCCCUCUUUAAGAGGGAGGAAGGUGGGGAUGACGUCAAAUCAGCAUGGCCCUCUGAUGUCCUGGGCUACACACGUGUUACAAUGGCCGGUACAAAGGGUCGCCAACCCGCAAGGGGGAGCCAAUCCCAUCAAAACCGGUCCCAGUCCGGAUCGAGGUCUGCAACCCGACCUCGUGAAGCCGGAAUCGCUAGUAAACGCCAAUCAGCCUCGUGGCGUUGAAUACGUUCUCGAGCUUUGUACUCACCGCCCGUCAAGUCAAGGGAGUCGGUAAUGCCCGAAGAUCACCCUCGUGGUGGGCUAAGGCAAGAUCGAUGACAGGGGCUAAGUCGUAACAAGGCAUCGGUAGCGGAAGCUGUCGAUG
This 1233-nucleotide ribosomal RNA is filed under the name metagenome. Its description in RNAcentral is "bacterial SSU rRNA". It matches the Rfam family "Bacterial small subunit ribosomal RNA", at positions 251 to 1520 of the family's 1533-position model. The record is from RNAcentral.